CCUCAGCUGGGCGGAAUCUCCUCACCUCCCGCGGCUCUCGAGUCUGAGGAGAGCCGAGACCCUAGGUCCACCCCGCCCCCAACCCAACUUUUCCCUACACCCGAGACUGUGAAAAUACUCUUUCCAUGUUCUCUCCGUGGUGGAGGGAGACGUUUGUGGUAGAGCGAUUCCAACAACAGAAGUGCGCCUAGAAACGUACGAUGUGAAAAUGGGAAGCAUCUGCAGGCAAUUAACUUUCAUGAUGGUAAUGCCUGGAGCUCUGAGACAGGAUGAGGAGCUUAAACUUGAAGCUUCCUGUGAUUGCAUACUCUGGGAGGCACCAGAUGAAGGCUCAAGUACUUGGGACCCUACCACCCUCAUGGGAGACCCAGAUUGAGUUCCCAGUUCCUGGUUUCUCCCACAUGGGGGCAUUUGGGGAGUGAAGCACUGAAGAGAGAAUCUAUGUCUGUCUCUGUUUUUCAAAUAAAUAAAAAUAACUU
Molecule: long non-coding RNA, 479 nt
Organism: Lepus europaeus (European hare)
Lineage: Eukaryota; Metazoa; Chordata; Mammalia; Lagomorpha; Leporidae
Exons: 3
Source: RefSeq, a predicted model, not a curated record